UGGGGAAUAUUGCACAAUGGGCGCAAGCCUGAUGCAGCCAUGCCGCGUGUAUGAAGAAGGCCUUCGGGUUGUAAAGUACUUUCAGCGGGGAGGAAGGGAGUAAAGUUAAUACCUUUGCUCAUUGACGUUACCCGCAGAAGAAGCACCGGCUAACUCCGUGCCAGCAGCCGCGGUAAUACGGAGGGUGCAAGCGUUAAUCGGAAUUACUGGGCGUAAAGCGCACGCAGGCGGUUUGUUAAGUCAGAUGUUAAAUCCCCGGGCUCAACCUGGGAACUGCAUCUGAUACUGGCAAGCUUGAGUCUCGUAGAGGGGGGUAGAAUUCCAGGUGUAGCGGUGAAAUGCGUAGAGAUCUGGAGGAAUACCGGUGGCGAAGGCGGCCCCCUGGACGAAGACUGACGCUCAGGUGCGAAAGCGUGGGGAGCAAACAGG
RNAcentral lists this ribosomal RNA (429 nucleotides) under Chloroflexota bacterium. RNAcentral's name for it is "Chloroflexi bacterium partial 16S ribosomal RNA". It matches the Rfam family "Bacterial small subunit ribosomal RNA", at positions 355 to 776 of the family's 1533-position model. Lineage: Bacteria; Bacillati; Chloroflexota. The record is from RNAcentral.